CAUGAUACCAGUAGUCCUUUGCUAAUCAGUGGAACCUCUGCAGCCGAGCUCCCAUGGGCUGUAAAACCUGAAGAUAAGGCCAAAUAUGAUGCAAUAUUUGAUAGUUUAAGCCCAGUGAAUGGAUUUCUAUCUGGUGAUAAAGUGAAACCGGUGUUGCUCAACUCUAAGUUACCUGUGGAUAUCCUUGGAAGAGUUUGGGAGUUGAGUGAUAUUGACCAUGAUGGAAUGCUUGAUAGAGAUGAGUUUGCAGUUAUUUUCCUCAUUUUCCACAAGAGCCAAAUGAAAUAGGCAGAAUACAUAUUACCACAUUUUAAAAAUGCAGAAAGACAAACUUAAAGUGACUUGAAUUCAUGUUCACAGACGGAGUCUCACUCUGUCACUCAGGCUGGAGUGCAGUGGCAGGAUCUCGGCUCACUGCAGCCUCAGCCUCCUGGGUUCAAGUGAUUCUUCCACCUCAGCCUCCUGAGGAGCUGGGAUUACAGGCAUGCACCACCACCCCCGGCUAAUUUUUAUAUUUUUAAUAGAGACAGGGUUUCGCCAUGUUUGCCAGACUGGUCUCGAGCUCCUGAUAAUAGGUGAUCCACUCGCCUCCUCGGCCUCCCAAAGUGCUGGGAUUACAGGCAUGAGCCACCUCUUCAGGCCCAAAACAAAAAUAGAGUAGAUGGUGAAUAGUAGUGUCAUCAUUUGAUAAACAG
RNAcentral lists this small RNA (695 nucleotides) under Pongo abelii (Sumatran orangutan). RNAcentral's name for it is "processed transcript". Lineage: Eukaryota; Metazoa; Chordata; Mammalia; Primates; Hominidae. The record is from RNAcentral.